This 252-nucleotide ribosomal RNA is filed under the name uncultured Thauera sp. Its description in RNAcentral is "partial 16S ribosomal RNA". It matches the Rfam family "Bacterial small subunit ribosomal RNA", at positions 525 to 776 of the family's 1533-position model. The record is from RNAcentral. Lineage: Bacteria; Pseudomonadati; Pseudomonadota; Betaproteobacteria; Rhodocyclales; Zoogloeaceae.
ACGUAGGGUGCGAGCGUUAAUCGGAAUUACUGGGCGUAAAGCGUGCGCAGGCGGUUUUGUAAGACAGAUGUGAAAUCCCCGGGCUUAACCUGGGAACUGCGUUUGUGACUGCAAGGCUAGAGUACGGCAGAGGGGGGUGGAAUUCCUGGUGUAGCAGUGAAAUGCGUAGAGAUCAGGAGGAACACCGAUGGCGAAGGCAGCCCCCUGGGCCUGUACUGACGCUCAUGCACGAAAGCGUGGGGAGCAAACAGG